Mytilus californianus (California mussel) is the source of this 1177-nucleotide long non-coding RNA. RefSeq lists it as uncharacterized. Lineage: Eukaryota; Metazoa; Mollusca; Bivalvia; Mytilida; Mytilidae. The record is from RefSeq and is a predicted model, not a curated record. The transcript has 3 exons.
GAAUUUCUUCAUUGAUGGCUUAAAAUUUUGGAAAUAUAUUCAAGUUUUAUGAUCCGGUUGUCAGUCAUACUUAACGGUCGAUUUUCAGUAUAGAUAUGAAAAAUCUUUGAAAUAGAUGUGAAAAAAAAAUCGUUUACGACUUUGUAAACACCACUGACACUCGGAUUCAUAAAUUCCAGAACUCUCUCCUUCCACACGUAUCCAUGGUUUCACAUGGAAAACAAUAGCGGCUUGCGGAAUUGAUUGGAUAUUUGUAUGAGCAGGGCGUGGUUUUCACGCAAAAAAUCUGCGAAAAGAGUUAUCUGUUCUUGACUUCCGGAAAUGACGUAUCCGCCAUUGUGUCUUACAUGAAACAUGAAACUUGUAACAAAAUGACUUUUACCGACUAUUUUUUGGACGGACUGCUUACUGAGAGGACAGACAACAUUGGAAAUAGGCCACGGAGGCCAAUCACGUAAGGAAUGAUACUGUCUGUCCAUCCAUCUGCCUGAAAGGAUCUUCUCCCAGUUAGACAGUCUCAUCAGAGUCAUGUGGAGAGUCACUAUACCAACGCCCUGGAGGGAAAUACCAAUAUUGGACUCAAAACCCAUACAGUGAAUUGGUUAGAAAGUUUGGAUGAAGCACAUCCUGAACAUAUAUGGUAAAUUCUGGUGAAGAAACAGCUCGGACCUGAAAAUAUAUACUUUAGAACAUUCAAUAAACUUAGUCAAAUGAUGAAUAGUUAAUGUAUCAUUAUUAUAAUGAAUACCAAAACAGUUCAGAUAGUCACUAUUGCAAAUCCCAAUGGAUUAUUAGACUUAAAGACUGCUUUGAUCUUGGUCUUUAUAUAUAAUAACUUCUCGACAUAUCCAUUUUUUAUAGGAAUAACAGGUUUUUCGCAAAAUAUUUACCAAUUUUUUUGAAUAAUGAGAAUAUUUUAGUGUAAAUAAUACAUUUUCCAAGAGAAAACAUCAUUAUAGCAAUGUCUGACUAAACAAUGACUUAACUCUUAGAGUUUAAAUGGAUUAUUUUUAUUUUCUCGGUCAAAAUUUGGGAUUUUUCAAAAUUACAGUUUUUUUUCAUGCAGGUAUAGGGCUAAUCAAAUUCCAUCUAGAAUAAAUAUCAAUCAGCCAAAUACAAUGAAAUUAGGUUCAUCUGAAAGCUAAGAUUGUAAGCUUUAAUAUGAUACCAAACAUGU